Molecule: ribosomal RNA, 468 nt
Filed under: uncultured bacterium
Lineage: Bacteria
Description: partial 16S ribosomal RNA
Rfam family: Bacterial small subunit ribosomal RNA
Source: RNAcentral
GACGAACGCUGGCGGCGUGCUUAACACAUGCAAGUCGAACGGAAAGGCCCUGCUUUUGUGGGGUGCUCGAGUAGCGAACGGGUGAGUAACACGUGAGUAACCUGCCCUUGACUUUGGGAUAACUUCAGGAAACUGGGGCUAAUACCGGAUAGGAGCCCCUGCUGCAUGGUGGGGGUUGGAAAGUUUCGGCGGUUGGGGAUGGACUCGCGGCUUAUCAGCUUGUUGGUGGGGUAGUGGCUUACCAAGGCUUUGACGGGUAGCCGGCCUGAGAGGGUGACCGGCCACAUUGGGACUGAGAUACGGCCCAGACUCCUACGGGAGGCAGCAGUGGGGAAUAUUGCACAAUGGGCGGAAGCCUGAUGCAGCAACGCCGCGUGCGGGAUGACGGCCUUCGGGUUGUAAACCGCUUUCGCCUGUGACGAAGCGUGAGUGACGGUAAUGGGUAAAGAAGCACCGGCUAACUACGUG